RNAcentral lists this long non-coding RNA (227 nucleotides) under Elaeis guineensis (African oil palm). Its description in RNAcentral is "long non-coding RNA (EGUI_LNC046972)". The record is from RNAcentral. Lineage: Eukaryota; Viridiplantae; Streptophyta; Magnoliopsida; Arecales; Arecaceae.
UACACAAUAAGAAGAAAGCUUUUCUGAUUUUUUUCAAAGUGGUUGAAGACUUGAAUGAGCUCUUGAGGGGUUGAUGAACUUGAAAUGAAAGUUUUUUUAACUUCAAGAGGGCUCUUGCUUAGGGUUGAAAUGAAUGCUUGAAGAACCUUUCCAAAAUAUUUUUUUGAUUCCCUCCUUUAAGUACCUUUUAUAACUUCAAAUGAUGGUGGAGAGUAAUCUAGGCUGAA